UAACUUGAAAUAUUUUAUUUAUUUUUUAUUUUAUUUUAUUUAAAUAAAUAAUAUUUACAAUUUGUAAUAAUAUUUAUUAACGAUUACGAUACGUAAAUUUGAUAAAUAAAGAUAACAAUAGCAUGAAUAACACGAAGAAGGAGGUCCCCCAGUGUGGAAAACCUCUGACUUGGGGAGAUAGAGAAGUUUUUUUAGUUAAUUAAUUCAAGUCAAAAUUCAAGAGAACUUGACACCAGGGUUUUUUUAAUUGACGUGGUUAUCUAGGAUAAGUUCAUUGAUUAAGUUAAAUGUUAGUGCAUUUGUGUUGUUAAUUGAUUUGGUAUGGAAUUUUUUAUUGUAGUUUUUAGCUGUAAUAGAGACUGUUUUAAUUUUAGGUUAUUGUGUAUAAUGAGACGUUAAUGAGACAUAUUAUGGCACAGAUAUUGGCAAAAAAAACUGACUGGAAAGCCUAGAUAGUAUGUUUUUGAGAAAGCUUGAUACAUCCUCAUAUUAGGAAGCCAAUUUUAUUUACUUAAAAAUAAAAAAUUGAAUGUUAUUCAGAUUAAAUUGAAUUUUUAAAGUUUUUAAAGAAAAUUGUAUUUAUGACACAACCAGUGGUUUUUACAUGAACUCAACAAAUUGAACAAAUUUUAGUGGUUUGGUUAUCUUGAUUAUCAUAGACGUACUAUGGCCCUUAAUACUACGCAGUAGGUAGAUACUUACUACUAUAACCAAUAUAGUAUAUCUUUAUUAGUUGAUUUAUAACUUCCGCCACACGUCACAUUAAAAUGCACAUCAUAUCGUUUAUGCACAAUGCAGUAUGCGUCAUUAGUCAUUACUUACAGCGUACCUUGUGUUCAAAAUAUCAAACAAUCAAUAUGUCGGCAAAAUAUUGUUAUUUAAAUAUUUAAAUAUAAGUAGUGAGAAAAAACAUUUGUCUUUAUAACUAAUAAAACUAUUUUGGCAAACAAUAAAAUAUGGGGUGUAAUACACGAUGAUUUUCUACAUAUUGUGUAAAGAGCAGAGAGAAAAAAGGAUUUUUAGACGAAAAGGAUGUAAAACAACUCUAAGCUUUGGAGGAUCUUGUACAUCAUACAAGUUUACGGAUUGUUAUAGAGAAGAUGGAGAAAAAUAUCAUAAAUAUAUUUUGAAUUUAAUAUUUUAAUAAUGAAUUAUAUUUAUAAGAUAUAGGUAUCAGGAAUUGAUUUGGUCCAAUGUUCAGCAAUAGAAUAAUUGUAAAACUGGUCCACGAUUAAUAAUAUUGAUAAAGAAGUUUCUGCGGCUAAAUACUUAUAAUUUUCCGAUAGAAAAUCCGAAGACAAAAAUGAUGAUCAUACGACAUUCAAGAAUAUACUGGGCUUUUAAUUGAUGGUUGGAAAAUCCCAACCCGUAGAGAUGACUCUAUGUGGUGCCGACGGAUCACGGAAUUCCGGUUCCGCCUAACGGGAGACGCACAGAAGGCAAACUGUACAAAAUCGAACAUCGACGGAUCAAUCAACAGCGACCAGAGAGGGUCAACAUCGCACUCCAUCCGAAGACAAAACUCCGGAAGGGUUGUAGUUUAUAAGCGCAUAAUAUGACCCAAACGCAACCCAAAAGCGAAAAAAUAAAUAACCCAUAAGCGCAAAUAAAAUUACCUUUUUAAUAACCCAUAAGCGUAAAUAAAUUUUUUAAAAAAAGUGUAUUUAAUUAAAAUCGUAGUUAUUAUUAAUGUUAAAUUAAGCAUUUACAGUGAUAUUAAAAUUAAUUCAAAAAAUAAAAAAAUCAGUAAAACAUAAUAAUAUAAUUUUGAGUAUUAUUUUAAAUUAGUUAAACAAGUAUCAUGAAUAAAUAAAUAAAUAUAUUAAACUAAUAUAAUAAUGAAUAGGUAUCUUAAAAUUAAAUUUGAAAUUUAAAACCCACUGUCUUCAAAUAUUCCAAUCUAGAAUUUUUUUUUUCACAAGGUCCAAGUUUUUGUAUUGUCUUGGAACUGGUAAGGCCGUGCGCACAUGAAAAGUGUCGAGCGUCGCGCGUUAGGUCAGUAAAAUAUUGUAUCAGGUAAUACAAUUUAUUUUUGCGAUUUUAUCCCACUACCAAGGUACAAAAGCCCAAAUUCAUUUUAAAAUAAAAUGAAAAAAAUGUAUAAAAUAAUUUAAAUGUCCGCCAUAAGUAAUUUAACCGCAACAUGUAAAAUGUAAUAAUAUGUCACAUACAAUUAUUUAAAUAAACGAUGGCGAUGUCGCGGAAGUUAUUUGAAAAAGUAUAGUUCCCGCGGCAUCGUCGAUUCAAACAGGAAAAAAAAGUGUCCUUAUUGAUAGGUUAAGAUAUGAGUUAAGGCAUAAUAUUUUACUAACACAGAAAUGAAUUUAAAUAUAGGUAAUACAGUCGAAUGUAGUAUUUUUUUUUUUUUUUUAAUACUUAACAUGUAAAUAAAACUAAACAUCAUUUUUAA
This is a long non-coding RNA of Rhopalosiphum padi (bird cherry-oat aphid), 2410 nucleotides long. RefSeq lists it as uncharacterized. NCBI's taxonomy places the organism in Eukaryota, Metazoa, Arthropoda, Insecta, Hemiptera, Aphididae. The record is from RefSeq and is a predicted model, not a curated record. The transcript is spliced from 3 exons.